CGGAUGCGGAACGGAGCAAUCCGGUCCGCC
This 30-nucleotide small nuclear RNA is filed under the name Arabidopsis thaliana (thale cress). RNAcentral's name for it is "snRNA_13512". The record is from RNAcentral. Lineage: Eukaryota; Viridiplantae; Streptophyta; Magnoliopsida; Brassicales; Brassicaceae.